GUCCCUUAUACCUGUUGGUCUUACUCAAGAAAGAAAAAGAAAACUUCAUCUUUCUCUCCAAGGAAGCCAUAGCCGAUGCACACCUUCCUCUCUUCUCAUCUUCAAGAAAACAAGCUCCUCUCAUCUUCUUCAAGCUUUGUGACUCCAUGGGAAGAAGAAAAAGCAUUUUUCUCUCAUCCUCUUCAAGCCAUACGAGAACACUCCCUCCAUACCCAUUUUCGGUUUUGACUUAAAGCUUGGAACCAAAGCUGGAUUUCAUUUCCAAAAGAUGAAAUCUUGAAGUGCCAUCAUUUCAUUCAUCAUCUACAUGGCUAUACCAAUAUUUGGUCCUCCACUUGUGUUUUGAAAGGGGUUAAGAGCUUAAGGACCUAUAUUGACAUUGGAAGUAUCGAGGAGCAUAGAGGAUCAAGACGAAUGAUAUGAGUUAGGACGAACACUUCCCAAGGGGAAGAGUGCUGAGCCUAGGCACAAUGUUUUGUGUGAAAGACUUUCAAUUAUAAAAUUUAAUGUUUACUGCUGUAACUCUCUUUAAAUUAAGAAUCACAUUUUAUUUUAUAAAUAUGGAGUCUUUCGUAUCCUGACAUGGA
Long non-coding RNA from Carya illinoinensis, 587 nucleotides. RefSeq lists it as uncharacterized. The record is from RefSeq and is a predicted model, not a curated record. NCBI's taxonomy places the organism in Eukaryota, Viridiplantae, Streptophyta, Magnoliopsida, Fagales, Juglandaceae. The transcript is spliced from 4 exons.